Molecule: unclassified non-coding RNA, 281 nt
Filed under: Pseudochorda gracilis
Lineage: Eukaryota; Phaeophyceae; Laminariales; Pseudochordaceae
Description: ITS2
Source: RNAcentral
UGACACCACUUGGCCGCCAUCCCUUCCAUCGCGGCUCCCCCCUGUCAAAAGGAGGGGUCGCGUGUAGGAGGCUCGCGCCGGCGGACUAUGCGUGUUCCGGAGACUAAUCUCUCCGAGUACAUCGAUACGCGUGAACGAAACUUCUAUUGCCUUGCUGCACAGAGCUGUUGACGGCGUUGCUUCGGCGGCGACUCUCGGCUCGCUAACGUGUUCCUAGAACCGCUUUGGAGUGUCUUUGUCCGGUUACGCCCCCCUCAUGGGGGACACACACCUACUUUCGA